Molecule: non-coding RNA, 25 nt
Filed under: Rattus norvegicus (Norway rat)
Lineage: Eukaryota; Metazoa; Chordata; Mammalia; Rodentia; Muridae
Source: RNAcentral
UCCUUUAUGUGUCCCUCUUCCCAGU